CUUCAGUUUUUGGCACAGAAGGCAGAAUAUUCACUAUGGACUGGUCCCCUCUCCUGCUCACUUUCCUCGCUUUCUGUACAGGAUCCCAGGCCCAGUCUGUGCUGACUCAGCCAGCGUCAGUCUCUGGGAAUCUAGGACAGAGGGUCACCAUCUCCUGCACUGGAAGCAGCAGCAACAUCGGAGCUGGGUAUCCUGUGCAUUGGUACCAGCAGCUUUCAGGAGCAGCCCCCAAACUCCUCAUCUAUAGUAAUAGCAAUCGGCCCUCGGGUGUCCCUGACCGAUUCUCUGGUUCCAAGUCUGGCUCCUCGGGCUCCCUGACAAUCACUGGGCUCCAGCCUGGAGAUGAGGCUGGUUAUUUCUGUCAGGCCUAUGACAAAGGCCUCAAAAUUUACACAGUGCUCCAGAGCCACAGGGAAGUGAAACAAAAACCUACUUCCUCUACCAGGAAGAUGAGGGGAAUGAGGUGUUCUGUGCUCCUGUGGGACUGUCUGAAGCUGUGGACUCAAGACAGCAAGCUCCACAUCUUUAGAGCAUUUAACUGGCAGGCCCACAUGCCUGAAGAGCCAGCUGCAGGCAG
Carlito syrichta (Philippine tarsier) is the source of this 577-nucleotide non-coding RNA. NCBI's taxonomy places the organism in Eukaryota, Metazoa, Chordata, Mammalia, Primates, Tarsiidae. The record is from the annotation of a RefSeq genome assembly.